GCAGCUGUCACACACAACAGAGGUGGGUGUUGUCAGCAGCAAACUGAACUUGGCCAAUGCUCCUCUGCCCCCCCCCCCCAGUUUAAUCAUUGAGCCCUUGCUUUGUGUACAGAAGGCCUUAGGUUCAAAAGGAUCACCGGCUGCAGGGCUAAGAUCUGGGCUAAACAGAGCAAGAGUCUGACUUCCGGAUAAGGCAGGUCAAUAGGUGACUAAGCCGCUGCAAGUGAAAUGCAACACACCACCAUUAUGCAUGCUUGUUUGGGUUAUUCAUUUUUUUAAAAAAAGGCGAUUAUAAUUAUUUUUACUCCCCAGUAUUGCAGUUGGUGAGACAGAGGCUCUGUGAAUUCAGGGUGGACGUGAGAGCCAAAACAGGGGAGGAUAAGCCUAUCAGCUCAGAUCCUGCUUGGGGGCUUCCCUUUGGUUGGCCACUGUGAGAAUAGGACUAUUCCGGCAGUCAAGUGGCCUUAUGUUCUCCUUAUCCUCUCUUAUGGACUUGCUGAUUCAUAGCUUAGUCUCUUUACCACAACACAACACCAGGUCUGGAGACGGCACUCUGCAGAUUACCAGAGGCACUCUGUUCUCAGAUCCAAUGCUUCAGUAAUAGCAGACGGCUCCCUUCACCAUAAGGAACCCUGAGAUCUUUUGCGCAAAGUGAAAACUGGAUCUGUGAACAUGCUAACCCUUCGAGGCAAAAGGCCCUCUGCUCAUGCCCAGAGACACUCAGCUCAAGGUGUUCAGCAUUUUGGGAAAGCAAGGCAACAUUUCCCGGAACAAACCUCACAUACAGCCAGCUUCUACUGGGCACUGCUGGCAGCGAUCUACACCUUACAAGCAGACGAUGAUGUGCUGAUGUACAUUGCCAUGACAUCUUUCGGUAAGGCAAGUUUGGGACUAGAGGGAUGGGGACCCGCCACAUAUUCUGGGGCUCCCUUCAAGCCCACUAAUGUGAACUUUCUGGGAAAGAUUGAAUUGGAAUCUUUUGUGCAAAUUAGGGCAAUUUCCAUAGAGCAGGGUUUUUUAAAUUAUUAUUUUGCCAUCGUAACGUUUUCUGAGGUUCUAAAAAGUGAUCUAAUUUAGCAGGCUUAUUUUACUUUUAUAUAGUAAACAAAGCAAAAAACACUAAAAUCACCCACAGGUGCUUAAUACUUACUGGCACCUGUUGAUUUCUACUAAUAAGCUCAGGAAACAGAUUUCCAUAGAAAAAUGCACACUGGAAAAGAUGCCCCAGCUCUAGCCACUGCUUCAGCUCUAGCCAAUGAACCCGGACAAAAGGAAUCCACUCACAGGGUCCCCAUCUCCAAGUCAGAAGACGCCCCCCUCCAAAAGAACCCAACCCUGAGGAGGAGGAGGAGGAGGAGGAGGAGGAGGAGUGUGGCUAGAGCACAGUGAUGGGCCUUCAACUGGGAUUAUCAGUGGUGGAAAGAGGUGGGCCUAGUUAGGAAUGCCACAUUCGCUGCAAAGGAGAAGGUGCCGCCUCAUGUCGCAGCAGAAGCCAACUCUGGCCCUAGGAUAGGAUAGGAAGGUUUUCCCUGAUGCUUCCCAGA
Non-coding RNA from Zootoca vivipara (common lizard), 1544 nucleotides. Lineage: Eukaryota; Metazoa; Chordata; Lepidosauria; Squamata; Lacertidae. The record is from RefSeq and is a predicted model, not a curated record.